RNAcentral lists this ribosomal RNA (28 nucleotides) under Mnemiopsis leidyi (sea walnut). RNAcentral describes it as "partial 5.8S ribosomal RNA". The record is from RNAcentral. Lineage: Eukaryota; Metazoa; Ctenophora; Tentaculata; Lobata; Bolinopsidae.
CAACUUUAAACGGUGGAUCUCUUGGCUC